Molecule: long non-coding RNA, 745 nt
Organism: Ailuropoda melanoleuca (giant panda)
Lineage: Eukaryota; Metazoa; Chordata; Mammalia; Carnivora; Ursidae
Exons: 3
Source: RefSeq, a predicted model, not a curated record
GAAAACCUGAAGUCCCGAGCAGGGUCGGCCUGCGCGCCUCUGUAGAGCGCCCGCCGCCCGGGAGGGGGCCUGGCGGUCGGAGAGCUGACGACGGGGCCAAGUUCUCCCCGCCCCGCCCCGCCCGGGGAGGUUUAGUUCCCCGUCGUUUAGAGCCGCCUUUUCUUAUUGAUAAUUUCUUUUUGUCAUCGUCAUCUCUUGGCCUCAGACUGCAUUAAGGGAGCCAUAUUGAGACUGCGGAAAAUGAGGUGAUCUGGAGAAAAAAUUAAAAUGUGAUUUAAAAAAUAGAGUUUUUCCUACUUCCUUUUUCUCUCUCAAAUUACUGUAGAUGUAAGUUACAUUUGGAAAAGCCCCAAGGUCAGGCUUUCCAAAGCUCUGUCUUCUGCCCUCACCUGACACUUAAAAUAAGAUUUUGGUGUGAUAGUAAUUUUGCCAAGUGGAGGUCGACUCCCCAAAACAUCACCCCGCUGAGCACCGCUUUCGUUCGUGUAAAGCUGCAGGGGAAUAACAUAAGGGCUGUGCUGAUGUGUUCAAAGACAUGCAAACAUUCAACUCCGUGUGGCCGUGACAAUGGAGUCAGUUUUCUUCUGCUCAAGCACCUGAGCUCAACAGAAGCAUAGGUGUUGGCAAGGUGCUCGACUAUUUGGUGCAAAUGAAGUCACAGCUUCUGAAGAGCUUCACAGAUUUUGAUGAAGAGAAACAGAGCACAAGCAAGGGGAGCAGCAGGCAGAGGGAGACGGAGAAGCAG